AGAAAGGUUAAGGUACUUAGCCAAGGAUACACAGAUGGCAAAAUCCAGACUCAGAUCUAAAUCGGACUGUAUCCAAGCCUGACUUCUUUACUGUUUCCUAUCUGUAGGCUCCUGGCAGCUCAUCCAGGCAGAUCGGAUAAGUGAAUCAAAUACAAGGUAUAGUCAGGUUGAUGCCACCAUGAGAUCAUACGAGAAGGUUAGAGACGGAGACAGGAAAUUUUACACGGAGGAGGUCGCAUUUGCAAUGAAUAAUAAAGGUGGAUGGAAUUCUUAAAAAUAAAAUAACCGGAGGAUUAGCCUUCUAAUGCCUAACAGCAAAAUGAUCCCAUCAAAGGACCUGUGACCUAAAAGGUCAAUACACACUGCCAGUUCGCGCUUCAGAAAGAUUGGGCCACUGGACGGGACAGGGUGUGCAAACGUCCGCUUCCUCCACACCUGCCCAAUUCCAGGGAAAAGGAGCAUUCCUUCCCACCCCACCCCCAGUGCUGCUGUGCACCUUGAUUUUGAACCAAGUUGGGUGUCGUUUCAUCUUUUUAUUUGCCAUUCUCCUGCAUGUUUCUGCAAAGGACAUUCCUGCUUGCAUUUUCUCCAUUAAGCCCUUUGCUACCCCGCCCCCCAUCUUACUCUCCUGUGCCAGUACUAUAUACAAUGAAAGAAAUUGGCGUUUCUCUCUCUAGGUGUGUUACAAUAGUUUCUCAGCUUGUCAUGAGACCCUGACUUUUUUUUUUUUUUUAAUGAUGCGUUGUUGUGCUUAAGUUUUAUGGUUGAUACAGUGGAAUGUAUCCAUUUUCUGCCUUAUGUGUUCUGUGUUAAAAAAAAAAUCAGUGGUGAGAAGAGCCUCCCCACACCACCGAUGUAUACAGACACAGAUAAAUGCACGUGGACGUGCAGACACAGGCGUGCAUAUGUACACAGACACCUUCACACGUUCUCCCCAAGCAAGGUUUCUGCAUUUCCACCUGAGCUUCAGCGGUCCGGGCUCUCCAUUGCACCCUGCCUGCAAGGCAGUCCCGCCCUCCGGGUGCGGAUCCCAGUCCCAUUUCCCGGCUCUGCCCGCCUGCCCGCUGGGUGGGCCGCGGGACAUCCCUCCCGCAGGACCUGCGGGCUCAUCACUUCCCCUGCAGCCCCCCGGGGAGGUGGGGGUGGGGGCAAGGUCGUCCAGGCGGGGCGGAAGUCCUGCCCCGCGGGCACCUGGAUUCUGCCCUCCCGGCAGGCUCCCAUCGCGGGCCACGGGGCCCCCUCCGAGCCUGGGAGCAGGCCUGUCCUGGGCGUUCUUGGAAAUGCCAGCAGCACGUGGCCGCAGGAGAGCUUGGGGACCGUCCGUGACAUCAAGGACCUCCACAGUGUGCUGCAGCCGUCACCGUGAGCGGAUUCCAGGACUUCGGCAGGACCCAAACCCAAAUUCUACCAUCAGGCGGAAAGUUGAGUUUCUCAAAAUCAAGCUUCAUAAAAGUGCACGGACAGAACUUCCAACAAAUACUGGAGGAACAUUGACUGCAUUCCGGGCCUCGUUCUAGGCACAUCUCCAGAGCCGUUACAAGGCAAAAGGCAAGCAGCGACGGCAUAAACUUUGUUAAUAAAAUCAAAAGAUUUUUAUAGCAGAAUACAAAACAUAGCUGUGGCUAUAAGCCCAACGAGAAAGCUGUGAAUCUGGGGCGUCCAGGUGGCUCAGUGGGUUAAGCAUCUGCCUUCAGCUUAGAUCGUGAUCUCAGGGUCCUGGGAUCGAGCCC
Long non-coding RNA from Mustela erminea (ermine), 1730 nucleotides. RefSeq lists it as uncharacterized. The transcript is spliced from 3 exons. The record is from RefSeq and is a predicted model, not a curated record. NCBI's taxonomy places the organism in Eukaryota, Metazoa, Chordata, Mammalia, Carnivora, Mustelidae.